CAUUGUGUUUCCAAAAUGAAUAACAAACCUUUUAUCACAAUGUCAUCUCCACCUCUUGCUUCUAUAUAACUCAUCUCAUAUGUCUCUAUAAAAUCCCACUAAAUUUUAUGUCUUGCUAAUCUUAAGUUUUUUAAGGAAAAACAAAAAACAAAUAUGAGCUAUAAUACAAAGUUAGUAGUUCUCAUUUUUCUUCUUUUCACUAUCACCUCCACUGAUGUAUCAAACGCCACCCCUCGUCAUUUUGUGAAUCUCAGGUCGGAGAAGGUAAAAU
Molecule: long non-coding RNA, 271 nt
Organism: Arabidopsis thaliana (thale cress)
Lineage: Eukaryota; Viridiplantae; Streptophyta; Magnoliopsida; Brassicales; Brassicaceae
Product: other RNA
Exons: 1
Source: RefSeq